UCCCAGGUAACCAGUUUCAAAAACAACUAUUUAAAUCACAUUUCAAAUAAAAAAAAAAAAAAAUCAUUUGAAGAUAAAGAAAGACGUUAACGUCUUCACCGUUAAACGUCACCCUCCCCCUUCUCUCUUUAUCUCCAAAUUCCAACCUCCAUGCCCUGCGUUAUGCCAACCUUAUUGCCAAGAAACAAUCGAGUCCCGCUGCAGAGAGAGACAACCUUUAUUGCCGAUGGAAAAUGACUUCCCCAGCUGCAAUCAAGUCCAUUGUCGUCUUCAAGAGACCAGACAACCUUUGCUGGUAGAAGUCACCGAGGAGGGAUUGUUGUAGGAUUCUACCAUCGAAGAWGAGUUCCACGAUGCACAUAUCCGUGGGCAACUACCGAGGUGGUGAAGUAAAUGAAUUGUAGCACUGGAGAUUUAGUUUUUGAUUCAUUAAUCUGUAUUUCUUUUGUGGGGAGUGAGUUCAUGAGGAUUGCAGUUAUGCCACUAGGAGAGGAGGAACUCCAUUUGGUAGCCAUGUUAUCUAGGAAGAAUGAUGAACGAUAUUUAUGUUUUUG
This is a non-coding RNA of Nelumbo nucifera (sacred lotus), 554 nucleotides long. Lineage: Eukaryota; Viridiplantae; Streptophyta; Magnoliopsida; Proteales; Nelumbonaceae. The record is from RefSeq and is a predicted model, not a curated record.